AGAAUAAAAGCUUUAUAAAGCAACUAACUGUUAAUUAGUAGACCACGGCCUAUGCCCCGUUUAUUCU
This 67-nucleotide transfer RNA is filed under the name Potomida littoralis. RNAcentral describes it as "tRNA-Asn". It matches the Rfam family "tRNA". Rfam says of the family: Transfer RNA (tRNA) molecules are approximately 80 nucleotides in length. The record is from RNAcentral. Lineage: Eukaryota; Metazoa; Mollusca; Bivalvia; Unionida; Unionidae.